UGGAAAGAUAACCUCCCCUCCAUCUCCUUCUGCAAUAGAAAUAACCUCUUGUUUGAAGAAGCAGAAUGGUGGUGGCUUAAUAUCACACCUAAAGUAUAUUAGCUUGAGGGAACAGAGGGUAGAAGAAAUCCACUGCACUUUUUCUUUUAUCUCAGACUCUUCUGCUCAGGUGAUAUUGGUGAGGCUUCCCUGAUCAUCUAGGUUUGGAAUUAACACUUUUACUGAAAUGAACGGGGCACCUCAAAGCAUUGUCUUUAGGCUCUAAGCUUUAGUUUUUAUCCUACAUGACUCCAGGCGUCAGAGUGUAUGGUGCUUCUUACUUCAGCCUGAAAUAGUAUGGGCACUUUGGAAAAAUCCCUGUUUUGAGUGAAUUUGGAAAAGCAGCAGUGUAAGCUUUUUAAUUUCCACCUAUGCACACAAGAGUAAUAAAACUUGAAUGAUACUUGUUUGGCCUGAUAGACUCCUCCUCUUCCUACCAAAAGGAAAUGCUAUUUCCUAAAGGGCAAUAUUAAAGCCAGCAUUUCUGUCCUGUAAAAUUUGUUACAGAACUGCGGUCCAGCAUUCAGGAAAACUAAAUUUCCAACAGGAAGGAAACUGGUCCAAGUAAACUGGCACAGCACCAGAAUUUUACGUCUGUCUUAAUGAUUAUGGGGCAUUGUCCGUUUUAACCUGGGUUGCUUGUUUCCCUCCAAAUUUUUGUCCCCAUAUAAUUGUACCCCCAGUUAUCACACAGGCAGUCUCUUCACUGAUGAGGAAUAAAAUACCACAUUAAUUUCUAUCCUCUUCUUCUGAGAUGAAAUUCUCUGCUUCAGACCAUUGAUAUUUUAUCACCUCACUUCAGAUUAUUGUUUCUUGUCAGUUUUAAUGUGCUAUGCUAUUUGAUUUUCAUGUUUCAUUUUGUUCACCUACUUUUUCUCAUCACAAGCCUCACACUUGAUCCUUGGUACCAAUCACUGCAUAUUUGCUUCACCACCCUAGCUCCUGUUCUUAUGUUUUUUAAUGAGAUUCAGGUUUACUGCCAAGAUUUAACAUCACAACUGAAUGUUAUCCAGUAAAAUGGGAGAGACAAAGAUCCCACCAGUUUUCCACAACACCCUCUACAAAUCUCUAUCAACUCUUUUAAAGUCCUAUUUUUUUAAUGCAGCUGAAGUUAAGCAUUUUUGCACAUAUUGUUGGAAACAUUUUAAAUGUGAGGGUAUUAAUUAAUCGACUGCGCUCAUGCACACGCACACACACGCUCAAGCCUUUUCUGGAUGAAAUUACUGUUUUUCAGAGCAAAUCUGAUCUUGCAGCUCACCCACAACCACUAAUCCACAUUGUUUCCAUACUGGGGAAAUGGUGACAAGGACUAUAGUAUUCAUAUGCAACAUCAGGGGUUAGACUAGAUGGCCUCCUGAGGUCCCUUCCAACCCUAAUUUUCUAUUCAUUUUCUGUGAUUGAAUUAGCAGCGAUUUAAAAAGAUAAAUGUUAAAAUACCCAAAAAUACAUUAGAAAAUGUACUUAAAAAAUUAAAUGCGGAAGAGAAUAUAUUAAGGAACGUGAAUCCAAAGCUUUCAAAACAAAGCAAACAAGUUACCAGAAGUAAGGCCUUUCCAUGAUAAUGCCUGAAGGUUUCUGAUUCCUUUGUAAAUAUAAGCUGAUCUGUUUUACAUUUGAAUGAAUAUAGGUAAAGUACUGUAUAUAUGCAGAUAAAAGCAGCCUACUGAUGUAAAAAGAACGUGCAAAGAAUUUAUUAAAUUAUUUCCUAUGGAGAACAUACAAGUUUAUCAUCAUUUAAAUGUAAACCUCUUUGAACAAUUGAAGUGUACUGUAUAUGUUGAUGUGUGUAUAAAGUGUACAUUACAAAGCACAAGAAAAAGUGCCAUUAUUAACAGUAUUAUUUUCUCACAAAAUUAAAUCUAGUAUUUUUGAAUUAAUCUAUGGCUUGUAGCCCUCUUGUUAAAGGGCAAAUUACGUAAAAUCAAUAAACUAACAGAAUUGUUCAUCUCU
Molecule: long non-coding RNA, 1989 nt
Organism: Gavialis gangeticus (Gharial)
Lineage: Eukaryota; Metazoa; Chordata; Crocodylia; Gavialidae
Exons: 2
Source: RefSeq, a predicted model, not a curated record